CAUGAAAAAGAGUACGCGAAAAAAGCACACUUUUAGGUGCCAGGAGUGCGGCGUCCAGCCACAUUUGCUUCGAAUCGAGUACCAGCACUUCGUCUGAUUCAACAAGUGGAUCCUCCUAUCCCGGACCAAAAGAAGUGGCUAGUGGAUCUGGAUAACCUUUCUUCCCUUCUACUUUUAGUAGUCGAUGUUAUACCGGUACUACAGAGAAGUAAUUGAAUUGGCUUAGAAGCGGCUUCAACCUGAGAGGCCCGAAGUCUUCUCCCAGAGUCCUAAGAAG
Molecule: unclassified non-coding RNA, 277 nt
Filed under: Hevea brasiliensis (rubber tree)
Lineage: Eukaryota; Viridiplantae; Streptophyta; Magnoliopsida; Malpighiales; Euphorbiaceae
Source: RNAcentral